Molecule: small RNA, 67 nt
Filed under: Salmonella enterica subsp. enterica serovar Heidelberg
Lineage: Bacteria; Pseudomonadati; Pseudomonadota; Gammaproteobacteria; Enterobacterales; Enterobacteriaceae
Also listed under: 4 other names
Description: partial RtT sRNA
Rfam family: RtT RNA
About the family: This family represents a bacterial cis-regulatory element known as RtT RNA.
Source: RNAcentral
AUAUCUCUCCGUACGGGAAGGAUGAGAAGCUUCGACUAAGGUUCGAUUCGAGCGCAGCGAGAACGCG